UGUCGUCAGCUCGUGUUGUGAAAUGUUGGGUUAAGUCCCGCAACGAGCGCAACCCUUAUCCUUUGUUGCCAGCGGUCCGGCCGGGAACUCAAAGGAGACUGCCAGUGAUAAACUGGAGGAAGGUGGGGAUGACGUCAAGUCAUCAUGGCCCUUACGACCAGGGCUACACACGUGCUACAAUGGCGCAUACAAAGAGAAGCGACCUCGCGAGAGCAAGCGGACCUCAUAAAGUGCGUCGUAGUCCGGAUUGGAGUCUGCAACUCGACUCCAUGAAGUCGGAAUCGCUAGUAAUCGUGGAUCAGAAUGCCACGGUGAAUACGUUCCCGGGCCUUGUACACACCGCCCGUCACACCAUGGGAGUGAGUUGCAAAAGAAGUAGGUAGCUUAACCUUCGGGAGGGCGCUUACCACUUUGUGAUUCAUGACUGGGGUGAAGUCGUAACAAGGUAACCGUAGGGGAACCUGCGGUUGGA
RNAcentral lists this ribosomal RNA (472 nucleotides) under Escherichia coli. RNAcentral's name for it is "bacterial SSU rRNA". It matches the Rfam family "Bacterial small subunit ribosomal RNA", at positions 1050 to 1522 of the family's 1533-position model. The record is from RNAcentral. RNAcentral also lists the same sequence under 2 other names. Lineage: Bacteria; Pseudomonadati; Pseudomonadota; Gammaproteobacteria; Enterobacterales; Enterobacteriaceae.